AGAACGAACGCUGGCGGCAGGCUUAACACAUGCAAGUCGAACGGUUGUAGCAAUACAGCAGUGGCAGACGGGUGAGUAACACGUGGGAACCUUCCUAGGGGUACGGAACAACUCAGGGAAAUUUGAGCUAAUACCGUAUACGUCCGUGAGGAGAAAGAUUUAUCGCCCCUAGACGGGCCCGCGUAGGAUUAGGGUAGUUGGUGAGGUAACGGCUCACCAAGCCUACGAUCCUUAGCUGAUCUGAGAGGAUGAUCAGCCACACUGGGACUGAGACACGGCCCAGACUCCUACGGGAGGCAGCAGUGGGGAAUCUUGGACAAUGGGCGCAAGCCUGAUCCAGCCACGCCGCGUGAGUGAAGAAGGCCGUUCGGGUGUAAAGCUCUUUUACCAGGGAGAUAAUGACGGUACCUGGAGAAUAACGCCCGGACAAACUUCGUGACCAGC
RNAcentral lists this ribosomal RNA (444 nucleotides) under uncultured soil bacterium. RNAcentral's name for it is "bacterial SSU rRNA". It matches the Rfam family "Bacterial small subunit ribosomal RNA", at positions 26 to 512 of the family's 1533-position model. The record is from RNAcentral.